AAAUUGAAGAGUUUGAUCAUGGCUCAGAUUGAACGCUGGCGGCAGGCCUAACACAUGCAAGUCGAACGGUAACAGGAAGCAGCUUGCUGCUUCGCUGACGAGUGGCGGACGGGUGAGUAAUGUCUGGGAAACUGCCUGAUGGAGGGGGAUAACUACUGGAAACGGUAGCUAAUACCGCAUAACGUCGCAAGACCAAAGGGGGGGGACCUUCGGGCCUCUU
This 220-nucleotide ribosomal RNA is filed under the name Escherichia coli. RNAcentral describes it as "partial 16S ribosomal RNA". It matches the Rfam family "Bacterial small subunit ribosomal RNA", at positions 1 to 218 of the family's 1533-position model. Lineage: Bacteria; Pseudomonadati; Pseudomonadota; Gammaproteobacteria; Enterobacterales; Enterobacteriaceae. The record is from RNAcentral.